RNAcentral lists this long non-coding RNA (2145 nucleotides) under Setaria italica (foxtail millet). RNAcentral's name for it is "long non-coding RNA (SITA_LNC003255)". Lineage: Eukaryota; Viridiplantae; Streptophyta; Magnoliopsida; Poales; Poaceae. The record is from RNAcentral.
UCGGUAAGCAAGCUCAGCUCACUGUGCAUGAUACUCCACGACCUGGCGAUUCAACUACAACCCGGACAGGACAGAUCGACACGCUCGUCUAUUGGCGGCAACCGAGUGGCCAAUGCUCAAGGUACCAGGACCGCACGAUAAUAUACGGUCGCUUUGUCGUCUCAAAUGGUCAAGCCGCUGCAUGAAAAAGGCCACCAGAUCUCAAGUGAACAAACGGAGACAAGAGAUUAGCAAAAGAUGCAGUAUGUAGGUGAUCCAAUUAAUCAUGUAGGAGUACAUCGAUCCUUUGGCGGUGAAGCGGGAGAGAGGUGGCUCAGGCCGUGAAUUACGGGAGGUAUAUACAUCCCAAUCUUUGCGCGUGGCCAUGUACAUUCCUGGUAUAUGGGUCCAAAGACAACGCGUACAACCUAUGAAUAAUUCUUGGUGGACCCAGGCGCUUGAGAAGCUUUGCUUUCAAGCAGAGCCGCUCGCGCGUGUCGUCGCCAAUGUCGUCGGGCUCUGGAAGGUAGCUCUUCGGCACUAGGCAGCACGAAUGAAGCCCGCCCACAGCGUUAUGGAUUACGUAGAAACUUCCAGUUUAGCACCAGCAGGUUUCGGUCGUAGGGGCCGCGUCGAGAAGAGGAGAUCGAACGAAAGAAAACUCGGGAAUGGCUAGCUAUCAAUCGAAAAAUGUGUGCAGCGUCAGUGCCAAUAGCGAGGAGGAAGCAUCGAGGAACAAGAUGAUGGCCAAACUGUCAAUGGCAUGUGGUUGCGAAGAAUUAUGGGCCCAGGUUUUAAUUUGGUUAGUUUACCAUCUAGCCUUUAUAGUGGCAAAUACUCGGAGCCACUCUUUAUUCGGGUGGUAUAGACGUAUAGUCUUUACUCGGUCUUUUGGUGAGGACAUGUGACAGGAAUGAAGGUGCUAAAACUGCGGGAUACAUAACUGAGUUUAUGAAAUGGACAAUUGGCCAAGUGAAGAGCAUUUUGGUUUUUUUUUGUUUGUGCGGCGUGCUAGGCCGGCCGUAAACGAAAACAAAUCCGUCAGAGCGCUAAUUUUUUUUUAGGACAGAUAUUAGGCCUGCCAGGAAGUUUCCUAGGAGGAAUCACUUUUUGUAUCCAUCUUCUUUUGUUCGUUUGAUCAGGAAGCAUCGAAUUCAAAUUAUUUUAUUAUUCUACCGAGCUGAUGGAGCUGAUAUAUAGAUUCUUUGCCACAUUCUUACGUGAAAAGAGUCAUGUAUAUCCGACGCGCCAAUCCCACCAACUCACGCGCUUUCUCCGCUCCCGCUCCCUGCACAUUAUCGGAUGGAUUGUUAACGCACCACCCAAGUAAAGCUUCUUCCAACAAUUAGAGUCAUCCAACAAUUAGAGUCAACCACUAGUUCAUAGCAAUAAAAAUGGUAGAAGAGCAAUGUUCAAAAUAGCGGGCUAUAGAAGCAUUGUAGCGAUUUUUGGCAACUGCCACUACAACAUCGUUGUACUAAAUAGUGGGCUAUAGCGACGCUAUAGCAAAAUAUAGCGGAGCUAUAGUAGCUGAGAAGAACUCUCCGCUAAAUAUCGUAGUCCGCUAUUUAGAACAUUGCAUAAGAGACAACUUGUCCAAUGAUUUAACUCUUAGCAUAUAGCUUAAAAUAUAAAUGGAUCCACAUACCAGCCCACAUAGUCUUGGAAUAUGUGUAUGAGACUAUCUCCUGAUCAAGAGAUAGUUCUUCUCUCUUUCACCUAGAUAAAAUAUUAUAUUUUAAUCCUACGAGGGAGCUGACAUGCCACCGGAGGAGGCCUAGCCAGGAAGAAUAUCUCUACACUUCAUUGGCCGCGUCGUGAACAGCAGAAAACGUCUCAAGGUGAAGCUUCACGCCGGUUACGGCCCCGGACAUCGAUCAGGACAGGCAUGCUCGUCUCUCGGUAGCAACCGAGAGGCCAGUGCUUUGAUCUGCUACCUUACCAUAGAUUUAUAAUGCUCGCUCGUCUCGAACGGCCAGGCUGCAUUGAAGGGGACGAAUCGGGGAGGCGUGUGUGGGCCGGGCGCGAGUGGUGGUGAUACAACGCACCAGCAGGAGGUAAAGUCAACACACGGGAACGAGAUUAUUGGUCAUGCUGUUUCCUUGGCGGUGAAGCAGGCGGCUCGGCACGCGCGAUCUCCCGUUGCAGCGACACGGUGCCGCUACC